Long non-coding RNA from Gadus morhua (Atlantic cod), 2885 nucleotides. RefSeq lists it as uncharacterized. The record is from RefSeq and is a predicted model, not a curated record. Lineage: Eukaryota; Metazoa; Chordata; Actinopteri; Gadiformes; Gadidae. The transcript has 3 exons.
CAUUUAAGAUGCAGGUCCGUUUAUAUGCACAGGAAUGAACGUAGGCUACUUUUACAUUUUGUGCCUUCCCGUGGUGGUUCGCUCAACUCGUCACGGGUGACCGUGUAGCCUCUCUCGCUGGAAUCUCCCCUAUUGUUUCUUAUUUGGCAGAGAAUGUCGCUUUUUGGGUGGCCGAGUUCUAACGGCAGUCAAGAAGACGCCUUAAAAAAGGUGACAGCAGUACAACAGUACAAAGGCAAACAGGGCUGGAUGGUCCAAGGCCAGUCUGUCAACAGAUGUUGAAACGAUCCACGGUGGACAGGGAAGACUGCUGGAUCUUUACAUGGGAGAAAUAGGCCAUUAGGGCUCACUAGUAAGGGCAUUCGACCUAACCCUAACCAAGUAAAAUGUUGCCUAAACCCAACCUGGUAGUUGAGCUGCCCUACCAAGUCGUUUUAUGGCCCACCACCCUUUGAAAAAAAUAAGUCCACUAAGUCUGAAAUCUAAUACAGGUCAUGAACCCUGGUCCUAGGUGAAUGUCCCGUGUUUGACCCGUUCAUCCACCACCAACCCCUCCUGACAUGUACUUUGUGGCACUUUCUACCAUGUCACCUGACUUGAGUCGGCUUUCUGGCAGAAAGGACUUUCAGGUAGAGUGCUGCGUGGCGAGACGCAGCGCUCUGGCCAGAAGGUGGGAUGUGCACACAACUACUCUUUUGAACAUUGAGACUGGAAGAGAGCCAUUUAUCUGCCAGCUGUGUUAUGUGUGAGACAGGUUGCUCCAUGUCACUCCCUUGUAUAUGAGAGAGAGAAAAAGGACACUUGCAAAGAUGUUAUUUGGCCUUAGAGGACUACACAUCCGGCCAGCACUCCAGCCCCGGGAACUGCCGCGCUACUAUACUAAUAUAUAGCAUAUAUUAUUAUAUAGUCAAGGAUAUCCGAUAGAUAUAAGGGCUGUUAUUCAAUAGAUCUAUUUUGGUAACCUUGGUGUGGAGCAGCUUCUGUGGAUAUGCUGCUCACCCACCAGCGAUGCUUCGGGCCACAGCAACAUCACAUUAAAAUCAUGAGCAUUAGGAACCAAUUAACUGUAUGUGGAGGAGCUAGAUCAGGAGCUCCUAAGGAGAUCAGGAGCUGGAUCAGGAGCUACUAAGGAGCUACAUCAACAGCUACGAAGGAGUUAGAUCAAGAGCUACGAAGGAGUUAGAUCAGGAGCUACUAAGGAGAUCAGGUGCUACUAAAGGAGAUCAGGAUCUACUUAGGAGCUAGAUCAUGAAAGCAUUUUUGAAAUGACUUAAUGCAAAAGUUAUGCAAGAUAACCUAAUCUUGGUCUGCAAUGAUGAAUACCAAUCUCAACAGCCAAAGGACGACUUGGUGCUAUUCACAUACCUUUCCUAUAGUUUGUAUUGUAUGCAAUACAACACUCUCGGGCCAGUAGUGGUUAACACCACUUUUCAAGGAAUCGUGGAAAUGGAAUUGCUGAUAAAAAAAUAAAACAAAAAUAAACCCUGAUGUGCUGCUAGUGUUACUACAUAACCCAACUGAUCAAUUACACAACUUAAUAACACUAUGCCGACAAAUAUAGAAGCAAAUUACCGAAAGCAGACAAAGCAUUUUUCCCCAGCUGACAAAACCGUCAACCACACCCAUCUACUAUACGAGAUGUUGGUGCAAUGCCAAGGGGCCAGGAGUCAUGUUUGUACUCAAUUCUCAAUAGCACCCGGCAUAGUUUCAUCAUGCAGGUCCCUAAGGCCAUGAAGAGAAGAUGGAAUUUAAGUGAACAGUUCAGCAGAAAGGUAGGCAUCAACAUGAUGUCCGAACUUGAACGCUGGAAGCAUUCCACUCCUACCAUUAGUACCAAGCUCUUAUGUUGGCAGAUGCAUCUUAAAUCGAUUUACUCUCAGACACAAAGGCUCAUCCGUUUUUGUCCAAACUUUACUCAAGUUGUUAAGUUUACAAAAUGUGUACAGAAUGGUACAGCAGAGUGAAACAAAGCACCAGCAGUUGUGGACAAAUGAUCAAUUUCAAAUGUGGGCCUCUCCGCAUUAUUCAUUUUUUAAUAACGCAUUUAAUAAACGAGUCGCAAUUUAACUAUUAAUGAGGCUUAAUCAUCGGCCUUCAGGGACGCGUUAUCCAGUAAAACAAAAACACUAAAAGCAAUCUACUUAUUCCAUUAUGAACCUGAAAUUGAUAAAAGACAAUGGCCAAAAAAACAUUGUUAGGUCAAAGGGAUAAGGGUUACGGUAGAAGUGCUUUCCGUUGAACUAAGUGCUUGGAUACCACCCAGUCCCCCCAAAACAGUAUUAGAGCACAUUUAAGUCCAGAGGAAUUUUAAAUACUGACCCAACCACAGAAAAUAAAUAAAGAUCUGAGAUUUCUAGCACUUAAUGCCCAGCAAAGCUUUUGUAAAAAAAUAAGAGUUCUCAAACUCAACCUAGCAAUCAUAAAUAAGGUAAAACAGUCAAAAUGUGAAACCAUACAUUCCAUCGUUGAUAAAUAUGAAAUGGCCUGAUAAGACUUUAGGCAUGUCUCCUUAACCUAGUCUAUAUAGCUUGGUCAUCACAGUUAAACCACACACAACAAAGUCUGCAUAUUGGUUGUAGUUCAUUCAUUAAUUCCUAUACUGUAAACCUGGGAGGUAAAAAGACUGCCUGACUGGUAUAACUUAUUCCUACAGGAUUUUCCAUUUUGUUUGGGGUCCCUCCGUUUAAUAUUUCCACAGAUCUAGAUGCAUUGACUUUUAUUGAGUGGAUUUUUCAAUACACUGAAAUAGGCCUAUACAUAAAAUCCGCCAUGUCGACCAAAGAUUAUUUCCAAUAUUGUAACCAAACAAAUGUAAUUGAUUUUAUUUAUUUUUUACAGUGUAUGAAGUCUGGUUUGUAAAAUUAACAAAUAAAGAUAUUUUUCUA